This 744-nucleotide ribosomal RNA is filed under the name uncultured bacterium. RNAcentral describes it as "bacterial SSU rRNA". It matches the Rfam family "Bacterial small subunit ribosomal RNA", at positions 8 to 798 of the family's 1533-position model. The record is from RNAcentral.
AGAGUUUGAUCAUGGCUCAGAGCGAACGCUGGCGGCAGGCCUAACACAUGCAAGUCGAACGGAUCCUUCGGGAUUAGUGGCGGACGGGUGAGUAACACGUGGGAACGUGCCCUUUGGUUCGGAACAACUCAGGGAAACUUGAGCUAAUACCGGAUGUGCCCUUCGGGGGAAAGAUUUAUCGCCAUUGGAGCGGCCCGCGUCUGAUUAGCUAGUUGGUGGGGUAAAGGCCCACCAAGGCGACGAUCAGUAGCUGGUCUGAGAGGAUGAUCAGCCACAUUGGGACUGAGACACGGCCCAAACUCCUACGGGAGGCAGCAGUGGGGAAUCUUGCGCAAUGGGCGAAAGCCUGACGCAGCCAUGCCGCGUGAAUGAUGAAGGUCUUAGGAUUGUAAAAUUCUUUCACCGGGGACGAUAAUGACGGUACCCGGAGAAGAAGCCCCGGCUAACUUCGUGCCAGCAGCCGCGGUAAUACGAAGGGGGCUAGCGUUGCUCGGAAUUACUGGGCGUAAAGGGAGCGUAGGCGGACUGUUUAGUCAGAGGUGAAAGCCCAGGGCUCAACCUUGGAAUUGCCUUUGAUACUGGCAGUCUUGAGUACGGAAGAGGUAUGUGGAACUCCGAGUGUAGAGGUGAAAUUCGUAGAUAUUCGGAAGAACACCAGUGGCGAAGGCGACAUACUGGUCCGUUACUGACGCUGAGGCUCGAAAGCGUGGGGAGCAAACAGGAUUAGAUACCCUGGUAGUCCAA